Varroa destructor (honeybee mite) is the source of this 799-nucleotide long non-coding RNA. RefSeq lists it as uncharacterized. NCBI's taxonomy places the organism in Eukaryota, Metazoa, Arthropoda, Arachnida, Mesostigmata, Varroidae. The record is from RefSeq and is a predicted model, not a curated record.
ACUGAUUUGCAGAGAAGGCAGCCUAGCUUGAAUACGCAUAGAACCGCUAGAAGAAAAUCGUGAGCAUCCUCAAAUUAGAACUCUGUGCAUUUUUGCCUUGGGUAUUAGCUAUCGCUAGUAACUGCAUGUGUGACAAUGAAUACUCUCUAUGAAAUUCCAGUUUCGAGCAGUGAUCGAGUGCUUGCAUCCACAUGUGAGAUAAGAAGCGGGCCUGCAACAGGCUUAUAUGCAAAACGUCCGAGUGCAGUACAGGCUAAACAAGCGGGAUUGCGGUCUCACUAGAUCGGAGUCGACACUCAGCCGAAUAGCUAAUCCUGUUUCCAACGCGUGGGUAGAGCAAAUCGGUCAUCGGCCUUUGUCUUUAGAUUUACGUGUUUUUUCUGUCCCUGAUACGUAAGAAGAUCAGAUCGACGUUUAAUGACGCCUCACCCACGUUCAUAGCUAGAGUCAGCCAGGCCAACUAGUCAACGACGUGGGUAGAUUAAGUUAACUUUCCGUCGACAAUAAGUAUAUGUAUCGAAAGCAGAUUCCAUUGUUGGACAGACUUCACCACCGGAAACUAAUAUAUUACGCCACAUAGAAAAUAGAUAGGUAUAGCAGAAGCUGGUUAAAUGAAAAGGCCAUAGGAAGUUCGCAAAGGAUACUUGCCAACAUAGCUAAGUAAUCUAGAAUAGAUUAGAAGAACCUGAACUGCUAGGCUGCAAAAAACCUCCCCUGAAGAAUGAGCGUAUCGAUUUCUGCAAUGUAUUGCAAAGAUUUCCGUUUCUGUUCAAACUCUUCUGUUAUACUAUAGUUCAUA